Molecule: ribosomal RNA, 405 nt
Filed under: uncultured bacterium
Lineage: Bacteria
Description: partial 16S ribosomal RNA
Rfam family: Bacterial small subunit ribosomal RNA
Source: RNAcentral
GACGAACGCUGGCGGCGUGCUUAACACAUGCAAGUCGAGCGGAGCGGCGAACGGGUGAGUAACGCGUGAGUAACUGCCCCCCUCUCUGGGCUAACAGUUGGAAACGGCUGCUAAUACCGGAUAGUGGGGGCUGAAUCGGGUCCUAUCAGCUUGUUGGUGGGGUAGUGGCCUACCAAGGCGACGACGGGUAGCCGGCCUGAGAGGGCGACCGGCCACAAUGGGCUGAGAUACGGCCCAAACUCGUAAGGGGGGCAGCAGUGGGGAAUAUUGCACAAUGGGGGAAACCGUAAUGCAGAAACGCCGGGGUCGGGAUGACGGUCUUCGGGUUGUAAACCGCUUGCAGCCAUGACGCGGUAGUGGCAGAAGAAGCACCGGCUAACUACGUGCCAGCCGCCGCGGUAAUUC